AAAUGAAUGGCUAUACAGUCCCAAUUUCAUUUAUUGCCACCUUCACUCUCUCUCUCUAGAAUUCUUAUGCCUAUGCGGAGAAAAAUCUUCAGCAGCCUCAUUUGGACCAAGGGAGAGAGGUUUCUCAAGUCAAAAGCUUCAUCAAUUUUUUGGCCUGGACAUUUUCCUUUUUCUGAAUAGGUGUACCCAGUAUUCUCACUAGUAUUUUUCUUCCAGUUCUUUUGUUGCACGCUCUUAAGCAAAAAUGGGAAAUAGAAAAUCUUGAUUUCAGGUGGUUUUUUGUGUUUUUCCUUUUUUUGUUUUUUCAAGAGAUGGGUAUGUUAAAGUUCUAUCUAAUCGUGAUCUUUGUUGGGUUUUCUGUGCAAGCUAUGGUUCUAAACUCGCAGAACUUGACUUGCAACCCGAAUGAUUUGAAAGCAUUGGGGGUUUUCGUCAGUAGGCUGGAAUUAGGUAUUGAAGGAUGGGACUUCAACUCAUCUUCAUCUAAUUGCUGUAAUUGGGUAGGAAUCUCUUGCAAUUCUUCUUCAUCUCGUGGUUUUAAUGAUUCCUUCAAUUCUGGUAGCGUUGUUAAAUUGGAGCUUGGGGAAAAAAAAGCUUCGUGGAAGCAUCCAUGAAUCUUUAGGCAAUUUGGAGCAACUGAAAACCCUUAAUCUCUCGCGCAAUUUCCUCAAAGGGUUUAUUCCUCUUUCACUGUUACAUUUGCCAAAGUUAGAAAUCUUGGACUUGGCCUACAAUGAAAUCGAUGGCUUGUUUCCAAAUAGCAUAAACCUUCAUUCAAUCAGAGUUCUAAACAUUUCUGAGAAUGCAAUUCAGGGUCCAAUUCCUGUGGGCAUCAGUAUCAACUCAACCCGAAUUUUGGUUUUGAAUUUGGGAUUCACUAACUUGAAUGGAAAUCUGCCUCCUGGACUAGGGAAUUGUACUUCAUUGGACGAUCUCUGCCUUAGUUCCAAUUUUCUCUCUGGUGUUUUACCUGAAAAUCUGUUUCGACUGCCAAAAUUAGCUUACUUGUCUCUUCAAGAGAAUCGAUUUUCUGGACAGCUUAGUGACCUUAUUGGUAGCCUCUCUAAUCUUGUUUGCGUGGAUAUAUCUUUAAAUGGGUUUUCAGGAAAUUUGCCAGAUAUUUUUCAUAGAUUUGGAAAGUUGAAUUAUUUUUCAGCUGAGUCCCAAUGGUUACGAAUGCAAGGUUCUUAAUGUCCCCAAUUACUUCUUUCAACUUUGUGAAGAAUCAAUACAUCGCUCGAUCAUUCUUUCCAUCCACUACGCCGA
RNAcentral lists this long non-coding RNA (1266 nucleotides) under Olea europaea subsp. europaea. The record is from RNAcentral. Lineage: Eukaryota; Viridiplantae; Streptophyta; Magnoliopsida; Lamiales; Oleaceae.